AAAUCGUACCCCAAACCGACACAGGUGGUCAGGUAGAGAAUACCAAGGCGCUUGAGAGAACUCGGGUGAAGGAACUAGGCAAAAUGGUGCCGUAACUUCGGGAGAAGGCACGCUGAUAUGUAGGUGAAGCGACUUGCUCGUGGAGCUGAAAUCAGUCGAAGAUACCAGCUGGCUGCAACUGUUUAUUAAAAACACAGCACUGUGCAAACACGAAAGUGGACGUAUACGGUGUGACGCCUGCCCGGUGCCGGAAGGUUAAUUGAUGGGGUUAGCGGUAACGCGAAGCUCUUGAUCGAAGCCCCGGUAAACGGCGGCCGUAACUAUAACGGUCCUAAGGUAGCGAAAUUCCUUGUCGGGUAAGUUCCGACCUGCACGAAUGGCGUAAUGAUGGCCAGGCUGUCUCCACCCGAGACUCAGUGAAAUUGAACUCGCUGUGAAGAUGCAGUGUACCCGCGGCAAGACGGAAAGACCCCGUGAACCUUUACUAUAGCUUGACACUGAACAUUGAGCCUUGAUGUGUAGGAUAGGUGGGAGGCUUUGAAGUGUGGACGCCAGUCUGCAUGGAGCCGACCUUGAAAUACCACCCUUUAAUGUUUGAUGUUCUAACGUUGGCCCCUAAUCGGGGUUGCGGACAGUGUCUGGUGGGUAGUUUGACUGGGGCGGUCUCCUCCUAAAGAGUAACGGAGGAGCACGAAGGUUGGCUAAUCCUGGUCGGACAUCAGGAGGUUAGUGCAAUGGCAUAAGCCAGCUUGACUGCGAGCGUGACGGCGCGAGCAGGUGCGAAAGCAGGUCAUAGUGAUCCGGUGGUUCUGAAUGGAAGGGCCAUCGCUCAACGGAUAAAAGGUACUCCGGGGAUAACAGGCUGAUACCGCCCAAGAGUUCAUAUCGACGGCGGUGUUUGGCACCUCGAUGUCGGCUCAUCACAUCCUGGGGCUGAAGUAGGUCCCAAGGGUAUGGCUGUUCGCCAUUUAAAGUGGUACGCGAGCUGGGUUUAGAACGUCGUGAGACAGUUCGGUCCCUAUCUGCCGUGGGCGCUGGAGAACUGAGGGGGGCUGCUCCUAGUACGAGAGGACCGGAGUGGACGCAUCACUGGUGUUCGGGUUGUCAUGCCAAUGGCACUGCCCGGUAGCUAAAUGCGGAAGAGAUAAGUGCUGAAAGCAUCUAAGCACGAAACUUGCCCCGAGAUGAGUUCUCCCUGACUCCUUGAGGGUCCUGAAGGAACGUUGAAGACGACGACGUUGAUAGGCCGGGUGUGUAAGCGCAGCGAUGCGUUGAGCUAACCGGUACUAAUGAACCGUGAGGCUUAACCUUACAACGCCGAAG
RNAcentral lists this ribosomal RNA (1323 nucleotides) under Escherichia coli. RNAcentral describes it as "partial 23S ribosomal RNA". It matches the Rfam family "Bacterial large subunit ribosomal RNA", at positions 1639 to 2925 of the family's 2925-position model. Lineage: Bacteria; Pseudomonadati; Pseudomonadota; Gammaproteobacteria; Enterobacterales; Enterobacteriaceae. The record is from RNAcentral.